This 653-nucleotide ribosomal RNA is filed under the name uncultured Actinomycetes bacterium. RNAcentral's name for it is "bacterial SSU rRNA". It matches the Rfam family "Bacterial small subunit ribosomal RNA", at positions 758 to 1411 of the family's 1533-position model. The record is from RNAcentral. Lineage: Bacteria; Bacillati; Actinomycetota; Actinomycetes.
AGCGUGGGGAGCGAACAGGAUUAGAUACCCUGGUAAGUCCACGCCGUAAACGGUGGGCACUAGUUGUGGGGACCUACCACGGUCUCUGCAACGCAGCUAACGCAUUAAGUGCCCCGCCUGGGGAGUACGAUCGCAAGAUUAAAACUCAAAGGAAUUGACGGGGGCCCCGCACAAGCAGCGGAGCAUGCGGCUUAAUUCGACGCAACGCGAAGAACCUUACCAAGGCUUGACAUAUACAGGAAUAUGGCAGAGAUGUCAUAGCCGCAAGGUCUGUAUACAGGUGGUGCAUGGUUGUCGUCAGCUCGUGUCGUGAGAUGUUGGGUUAAGUCCCGCAACGAGCGCAACCCUCGUUCUGUGUUGCCAGCAUUUAGUUGGGGACUCACAGGAGACUGCCGGGGUUAACUCGGAGGAAGGUGGGGAUGACGUCAAAUCAUCAUGCCCCUUAUGUCUUGGGCUGCACGCAUGCUACAAUGGCUGGUACAAACGGCUGCAAUACCGCAAGGUGGAGCGAAUCCGAGAAAGCCAGUCUCAGUUCGGAUUGGGGUCUGCAACUCGACCCCAUGAAGUCGGAGUUGCUAGUAAUCGUAGAUCAGCAACGCUACGGUGAAUACGUUCCCGGGGCUUGUACACACCGCCCGUCACGUCACGAAAGU